CAGGCUUCAACCCACAAAGUCCUCCGAAGGUUUUAAUAGUCUCAUGGUGAGUUUUUUUUAUGGUCCCAUGAUUAGUUUUUCAAUGAAUAAGUCUUGUACAUUUCAUGUUUUUUUUUGAAAACUUCUAGAUAUUUUAAUGAUCUUAUAACGAGCUUUUUAGCAUUCUAAUGAUGAGGUUUUAAUGAACGCAUCAUGUGCUUUUAUUUUUUGAGAAUCCUUGAGACAUGCCUUCAAUUUUUUUCUAAGUUCAUGAUGAGCUUGAAACGAUGUCAUCAUGAGCUUUUUAUGAUUGUGUCAUGAGCUUUUAACGAUUGCAUCAUGAGCUUUUUCACGAUCUAGCACGUGGUUCAGCAGCCGCACUUUUCCUAGCUCAGCGCGGGCCGCCACCGAAACAAGAACUGAGGAACGAGCGCGUGAUGGAAGAGGAUAUUUGUGGGACGAGCGCCAGCGCGGAUGACGGCACCUAGUUGGAAUCUUCUGCCAAAACACGACCACGCAGAGCUUCACCAAUUAGCUCCACCCGAUUGAAAGUGUCUAGCAAAUGUGAUUGAAAGUGCUAUUCCCCACCGAUUUUACUCCCUAAAAACCACUCUCCCAAAAAGGAAAAAAGGAAAGUCCAACAGACAAGUUUUUUCAGCGUGUAAAAGAUGAAAAAUGGGAAGAGAGGAAAGAACCCACUAGGCCAACAUUUUCACGUACAUAUUGCAAGAUUAUAAAAGGGAAGAGGACAAAAAGGCCAAGGACGGGCUGGGCUCUCAGCUUGACUCUACACCGUCCAAAAUAAAAAAAAGGGAAAAGAGGGAAGGCCUGAAGAUGGAUUGUAGUUGUUGGGCUCUAGCACGAGGCCCACCGUGCGGAUAAAGGAGAGCGCCAACACGGGCU
Molecule: long non-coding RNA, 882 nt
Filed under: Brachypodium distachyon (stiff brome)
Lineage: Eukaryota; Viridiplantae; Streptophyta; Magnoliopsida; Poales; Poaceae
Description: long non-coding RNA (BDIS_LNC005470)
Source: RNAcentral